This 6428-nucleotide long non-coding RNA is filed under the name Olea europaea subsp. europaea. The record is from RNAcentral. Lineage: Eukaryota; Viridiplantae; Streptophyta; Magnoliopsida; Lamiales; Oleaceae.
CUGAUACUGACAAUUUGAAAAUACUUGAGUUCAAAUUCAUCCAUAACGAACAACCAUUUCCUUCUCUCAUUAAUGACCACAUUAUAAUCAAUCCUAUCUUUGAUCCUGUAGUGGUCAGAGCAAAAAUGGAGACGGCUUUGUUGGGUGGAGGAGAAGGCAGCAGUGGCGACCAAAGAAGGGAUCGUAGGAACUUGUUUAACAGAACAGAUGCCAUUGCUUAUGGAUCAACAUACCAGAAGGCCGCUGCUUUGGUUGAUCUCGUAUGUUUCUUGUUUUUUUAUGUUAAGUUUCAUAAUAUUGAAUAAAAAUGUUGUAGCAGUAUAGUUUAGCUGGUAAUUCAAUGUGGGUAUGUCUGUACAUUGAAGAAUAUGAUGUUAAAGUUGAUGAAGAUAUAAUAGAUUCUGUUAAAGCGUCUAUUUUAAACGCAAUUGGUAUUGAAAAUGGGGAUUCCGACUUUACUGAAUUCUUGGAAAGUCUAUUAAGAAAAGUGGACGUGUGUAGGGAUAUUUUGAUCUUGAUAAUUUGCUUAAGAUAUGAAAUUUCUUUGAAUUACGAUUGGGUGAUGGUUUUUGCAAGUUGUACUUUUCACAUUUGUAAUGACGUGGGCACCUUAAGUUAGUAUGUUUGUGGUGGAUUAAUUACUUGGUAUCAAGAAUUUUUAUGAAGGAAAAGAUAGUCUGUGGUGGAAGGUUUUGGGUCCGUGGCAACUGGCAUUAGAGAACGACUUACUGUAAGUGUAGAAAUAGUGGAUAUUUCGAACUUACUGAAUAUAUUUCUUUCUGAAUAUAAUUCUUUUGUCAAUUCAAUUCACCACCUGGAUUUGUAAAUAGUGAAAGUGUUAUGGAUUCAAGUUAAGUUUUACUGGCCCCAGAAAAUGGGAACGUUUCUUAUAUUGGUGACCACAAAUAAACAUGAUUACACUCUAUUCAGCAUUUUUUACUGCAUCGUAGACCAAAAUUGUUCCUGAAGCCUUGCAUGGUUGACCGAACUCAUUUCAUUUGGUAUUGAAGUCACCUAUGAGGUGCUAUCCCUCAUCUGAACUCUGGAUGUGGAUUGUCAAUAGACUGGAUGCUACAAGAAUAGUACGUAUUUUUCUGUUUUUGUUUUUUGUUUUCUUUUUGGGGGGUGGGUGGGUGGUGUGAGGGGUUGAUAAGACCUUGCCUUCAUAACACCUGGACUCAUAUCAGUUUGGUGGUAACUACUACUUGGAUGCUCAAGCAUUUCCGGAUCAGUUGGCUUGUGCCAAUGCUAAGUAGAUUUCUGGGGCGUAAUUCCAACACUGGAAUAUCAAGGAAAUUAGAGGAUACCUUCAUGCGUAUUAAAGGAUGAGAAUGUCAUCAGUACAGUACCUUGGAUAGAGACAUAUUCCUGAAAAUAUCUGGAAUGCUUAUAGCAAUCUCUGCUUGCCCCCCCUUUAUAAUGAUUUGAAAUAUCUCUUGCAUUUGCAGGCUGAAGAUGGUGUUGGUAUACCUGAGGAAAUUCUUGAUAACUCGAGCUUUGCAAGUUCUCUGAAAUCCUACUUCAUAUUUAUUCGAUUUGACUUUCUCUGGUCUCUUAACUACUUUGCAUUAAUCAUUCUAAAUUUCUUUGAGGUUUGUGUAUCUUCCUAACUCCUAGUAUAUCUAUUUUUUCUCUUUUUUUGUUUGACAUUAAAUAAUUAUUUAUGAUUUAGAGAUAUUUUUUAUUAUUAUUAUUUUUUUUAAGUUCAAUAUUUGUUGGAAUUGAUACUUAAAACUACGUUUGGUUUACAUCCGCAGAAACCUCUAUGGUGUUCUGGGUAUUGCAAUAAUAGAGGUUACUACUUUCUCGGGCAGCUGCCAUACUUGACUGGUGCUGAGAGUCUUGUAUAUGAGGUAAGGUCGAAAUAGUACACCCAACAUCAUGGAUGAAUAUUUAUCUGAAUUUUGGCUAUUGCUAUAGUUGCCUUUCUUUGACCAUAACAAAUUGGAUUGAAGAAAAAAUAAGUUGUACUAAUUUUUCCUUUUUGGGGUUGGGGGCGGACAUAAGAUCCAGAAAUUUUGAUUUAAAUAUUUAAAAAUAUAUAACAAAACAAUCAUCUGUGAGGCUAAUAUAGAUAUUAGACGUGCUUGUGUUCAAAAAUCAUUUUAGCAGAAGAAAAAAUCUACAGUGGAUAACGAUUAACAAAGAUAGUGAAACGGUCGAACCAAAACUCCACAUCCUUAGAUUUUAUGCUUUUGAUGAGAAGAUGGAAUGAAAAGAAUGAGAAGUCUGUAAAAACAUGCCAGAUUCGGAAUGUCUUUUAAACAUUGGUAUGUAUUCUAUUGUACUAACAACUCUGGCAGUCAAUUAUUGGAUGCUCGCCUGCUAUAAAAGUUGCACAGAUCUCAGUUGUUUUAGGUCAAUGAUUGACACUUUUGGUUAGUGAUGAAUAAAUAUAAACUAAUUUUUGAUAGCCAAAAAAAGCUGAAUGGGCAGUUGCCGUGUACAAACUUAUUUAUCAAGCAGGAGUAAGAAAAAGAACAAGAAGUCCUUAAAAUGAAAAAUAUACAUAGGACACAAAAUUGAAUUUAAUGGCAGUCAACAAGGCAUGCAGUUUUUCUGGUGUUGUAUUAUCCAGUGUUACAAGAACCGGACCCCUGUCAGUUCAACCUGGAAAAAUGGGGGAACCGGUCUAGAAACAGAAAAUAUAAAAACUAAAAAAAUUCGUAACAUAAUCAAUGAUCUGACCGGUUCUGGUUCUCCUGAACACAAACCGGUUUUACCGGCUUUUUCAAGUUAUACUUUCAAACAAACAAAAAAAAAAUCAUAUAUUUACUUUUAUUUUUUUUUAACCAUCGGGACUCCACUUCGACCCUUUACCCUCUGUGUUUUCUUUCUGCACAUGAAUUGUGUAGCACUUUGCUAUGAAACAAGACAGUUUACUGCACUAUAGAAAUGGAUAUAUGAAUGUUAAAAUGCAAUUCCACCUGCACUUCUACUAGUAGCUGAAGUUAUGGAAUAGUUUAUUGAUCUGAAACUUCUUGCAGUUCUUUAUGUUUUAAGUCUUACUUCGUGCUACUUUUGAAAAUAUACAUACAUAACUAGAGUUCCACACUCUUGUAUUUCUUGUAGAUUGAACUUUUCUCGUACUACCUUUUGCAGGUUGUUACACUCUUGAUCCUAAUUUUACAUACUCUGUUUCCAUUAUCAUAUGAAGGGAUUGGUUUCUUCUGGAGAAAACUUCUUAACAAAGUUAAGGUAUUCACUUUUAAUUAUGAUUUCAUAAUUUGCUGCAAGAAGCUUCAUUCAAAAGGUCUUAUCUUAUUAAGGAUCAUGUACAUGAUAAAGAAAGUUAAUCGUGAAAUAUUUCUUCCUUGUUUUGCACAUAUGUCUUAUAUGUUUUUCUGAAUUCUCUCAUUCGGGGGCAGAACUAUAUAUUUUUAAGGUUUGGCUUCCCAUUCAAUUUAUAAAAUAUUUUUAACAGCAUGCACGUUUUGAUAUGUUGUUCAGUAUUUCAGCUCCUCUUAGAGAAUGUGGUGAGCAUUCAAAUAAAUCAAAUCUUAUGUAGUUUCUUGUACCAAAAUCGGAAUGAUGCUGCCUCCUAAAUUAGAAUAUUGACUUCGAUCUUUUUGCAUUGACACACUUGAAUAUACCAAUUUUCCAAUUUCUAAAUAAACUUAUUGCUUUUGCCUGAUACAUGGUUUAUCAAUUUGUACCAUGUUAAUCUCGUUUAGCAUAUUAGUUUUCUUAUAUAUUUUUUUUGCCCAUUCAAGUGUUACAGCAAAUGAUUUUGUUUGUGCUAUUAAUAUCUUGAGAACUCAAUUUCUUUUGUUUUGUUUUUUGUUUUUUUUUUUAAGAUCAUAAUUUCUAUUUUCUCACGAGUAGAGGAACAUUAUGUGACUACAUCAGAUAUAAACAACACAGAGAUUUUCAUAUCAAGCACUAAGUGAUAAAGAUCUACAGUUUAUGCAGCCAUUCCUUGCUCCCUAACAAUCAACUGGAAUUAAGUAAAACAGUUAUAGAAAGUAAAGAAAUCUUGAGGAAAAAGUGGGUUUUACUGUUAGACAAUAAUCACGGGUCUUUCCUAUGAUGUAAACAUGUGAACAGAGGAAGCAGUAUAUUUUGAUGGAAAAAUAAGUGUUUCUGAAAUGAAGAGGCCUAUGGUAUAAACUGAGAACAAGAAUGGAUGGUUUUGUGUUUAUUUUCAUUUUUAAUCUCCAACUUUUCCAGAUAUGUUCUGUACCUGUUUUUUUCUUUAUCAACUUGUAUUACAUGAAAAGAAGAACAGAAGAGAAGCUAUAAUGGAGUCCUUUGUUACAUUAUGGUCAUCUACAAUACGUGGAAGGACUUAUAACAUAUAUCAUAUUUUUUAUUGCUUAUGAUUGGAUAUGUGAACUGUUGAAAUGAAUUUGUUAUGGCUUAAAAUCAAGAAUUGAAACGAAAAAUUAUUGGCCAGACUAGUUUGGUUUCAACUUGAAUUGUCUUUUUGGUACCAUUGAAACGAUAAAUUUUAAAAAUUGAACCUUGAUAAAUAAUCAGUUCUUUUAUUGAUUUUUAGGUACUUCUGUUGUUACUAUUGGUUGCCGAUCUAUUAGUCUAUGUUAUCUAUCUGUCCCCAGUGGCAUUCUAUACUCUUCCGUUUAGGAUUGCACCCUAUAUACGGGUUGUAUUUUUCAUCCUGAACAUCAGGUAUGGUAUGGGUAGUUGGAUACCCUAUUACAGUUUUUCUCCUGCAUUAUGUUCUCAUUUGUGCUUUCUGGAUUUUUCGUCUUUCCCUGGGGUGCUAUGUCCCAUUAGGAUUUAUACAUUGGUUUUGGAAUAACUCUUCCUGAUUACAAAGUUCCAUCUUCUAGCUGGCACGCUCUUGAACAUUGAAAUCCUAUUGUUGUCUUUUGGACUAAGGUUUGGGAUUAUCAUUUGGUGGAAAAGUUUGCCUGUCAAUUCGGGUAGAUGAGUUUUCCAGUUUUGAUGCUGCUUUUCAACUGGUAGAAGCAGUCUUCACAAGGUGAACAUUGGUUUUUAUUGGAAUCAUGUUCAGAUGGAUGCAAGGUUAUGGACUGAAUAAAUUACCAAAUUUACAAUAUAUGAAACUGAUUUCCACCUUUCGACUAUACAUAGGUGAAAACUUAAAACCAUGAUAAGCAUAUCAUUCAUUAGAAUUGAUUGUCAGUUAUGGUGCCCACUUGAGGGCGAUUGCUUGGAGAAAGAAGAGGUUGGAAUUUGUUGAUUUUCAAUUAACCCAACACACAGGAAGAGGAAAUACCAUUCUUCCCAAAAAGGAUACUCUAAGCCAAUCAUAUGCCACGUAGCAUCAUUUAAUUCCUUCGCGUGACUGCUAAUUUCCACUAACUGAAUUGCUUCUUAAUUUUGUAAAUUGACAUUAGGGAUUUACGAGAUAGCAUUGUCAUCCUGGCUGGAAUGUUCGGCACGUACCUUAAUAUUCUGGUGCGUCCACUUAGUAGUUCUGGUACUUAUCUUCAAAAGAAUUUAUUACACAUAUAAUUGAAGUAUUGCCACUAUUAUGAUCUUUCUAUCUCUUCAAUUUCACGAGUGAAAUUUGAUUGUGCUUUUUGCCUUUCUGGGGACCUAAUGCAGGCUCUAUGGGCUUUGUUUCUCUUGUUCUGUAGCUGGUUGGCAUUUGUUAUUUUUGAAGAUACGCAACAGGGAAAGACUAUAUUCACUUCAUAUGGUACCACAUUAUACCAAAUGUUUGUUUUAUUUACGACUUCCAAUAACCCAGAUGUCUGGAUUCCUGCAUACAAGUAAGUAGCUUUGAAACAUUGGUUUUUUAGAUUCAUCCUCUUCUCUCUUUCUAAUAUUGCCUAUUUAUUAUGCUGCAUUCCUUCCCCCUACCUUGCACCGUUAAGGUAGUCAUACAGCACACACAGGAGAAGAUUUGAAUUUACGUCCAAGCAACACUGCUAAACCUUUAGAACUUAUUAACGACUUCUAUAGUUAUCAAUUUCCAUAUUGUUCUACUAUUUGCUUAUAACUGAUUUUCUCUUGUUUUAUUCACCUCCAUGAUAUGUUGGUUCAUAGGGCCUCACGGUGGUAUUGCCUAUUUUUUGUUCUCUACGUGCUGUUGGGCGUUUACUUUGUCACCAAUUUGAUUCUUGCUGUUGUAUAUGAUAGCUUUAAAAGUGAGGUAUUUGAUGCAUCCCUUGCACUAUAUUUUUACGCUAACACUUUUUCUGUAUAACUCAUAUAUUAUCCAAUUGCCCAAUAUGAGAUGAAAUAUAUCACUUGCCAUUGUAGAAGGAAUGGAGCUUCAAACUCCUACUUCAGAUUUGGAGGCAUUAUACUAAAUUGCUGUCUUUCUUUUUUGGCAUUCAUUGUUGUCUUACAAAAAGCACUAUACACCAUUUAGAUGUCAAUUUGUGACUUCUUGUUCUCAUGUUGACAGCUUGAUGUGUAUCUAAUACUAGUUUUUGUUACAGCUCGUAAAACAAGUCGAUCAGAAGGAUCGUACAAGGAUGAGAAUACUAAAG